Molecule: ribosomal RNA, 323 nt
Filed under: uncultured eukaryote
Lineage: Eukaryota
Description: partial 18S ribosomal RNA
Rfam family: Eukaryotic small subunit ribosomal RNA
Source: RNAcentral
CCCUUAGAUGCUCUGGGCCGCACGCGCGCUACACUGGUCGAUGCAACGAGUUUCUUUCCUUGGCCGACAGGCCUGGGCAAUCUUUGAACAUCGAUCGUGAUCGGGAUAGAUUCUUGUAAUUUUUGAUCUUAAACGAGGAAUUCCUAGUAAACGCAAGUCAUCAGCUUGCAUUGAUUACGUCCCUGCCCUUUGUACACACCGCCCGUCGCUCCUACCGAUUGAGUGUUCCGGUGAAUAAUUUUGAUUGCUGUCUCUUUAGCAAUGAUGUGACAUGUGAAAUAUUUAAUGAACCUUAACACUUAGAGGAAGGAGAANUCGUANCA